RNAcentral lists this small nuclear RNA (18 nucleotides) under Arabidopsis thaliana (thale cress). RNAcentral describes it as "snRNA_14702". The record is from RNAcentral. Lineage: Eukaryota; Viridiplantae; Streptophyta; Magnoliopsida; Brassicales; Brassicaceae.
CCCUCAGCAAAUCACUUA